GCGGCUGGGGCCGGGCGGCGCGUGCGCAGUGCGGAGCGGCUGGUGGCAAUGUCUCCUUGGGCCAGGCUCCUCUCCAGCACCUCCAGGGUCAGCCUGCUGCUGCUGCUGGGCUCUGUGCUCCUCUCCUGCUCCAGCCUGGGACAGAGAGUGCCUGAGUUUGCCCUUACAAAAAUAGAAGAGAGCGACAUAAAAGAUGACAGUGGGAAGGAGCUGGGGACAGAGGAUGACGCUGAUCCUGAAGACCUGGAAGUGUUUUACCCCACGGAUCAGUGGCAAACCCUGCA
Melozone crissalis (California towhee) is the source of this 284-nucleotide long non-coding RNA. RefSeq lists it as uncharacterized. The transcript is spliced from 3 exons. NCBI's taxonomy places the organism in Eukaryota, Metazoa, Chordata, Aves, Passeriformes, Passerellidae. The record is from RefSeq and is a predicted model, not a curated record.